This 1488-nucleotide ribosomal RNA is filed under the name metagenome. RNAcentral's name for it is "bacterial SSU rRNA". It matches the Rfam family "Bacterial small subunit ribosomal RNA". The record is from RNAcentral.
AGAGUUUGAUCCUGGCUCAGAUUGAACGCUGGCGGCAUGCCUUACACAUGCAAGUCGAACGGUAACGCGGGGCAACCUGGCGACGAGUGGCGAACGGGUGAGUAAUACAUCGGAACGUGCCCAGUAGUGGGGGAUAGCCCGGCGAAAGCCGGAUUAAUACCGCAUACGACCUACGGGUGAAAGCAGGGGAUCGCAAGACCUUGCGCUAUUGGAGCGGCCAAUGUCAGAUUAGGUAGUUGGUGGGGUAAAAGCCUACCAAGCCUACGAUCUGUAGCUGGUCUGAGAGGACGACCAGCCACACUGGGACUGAGACACGGCCCAGACUCCUACGGGAGGCAGCAGUAGGGAAUUUUGGACAAUGGGCGCAAGCCUGAUCCAGCCAUGCCGCGUGCGGGAAGAAGGCCUUCGGGUUGUAAACCGCUUUUGUCAGGGAAGAAACGCUCUGGGUUAAUACCCCGGGGUAAUGACGGUACCUGAAGAAUAAGCACCGGCUAACUACGUGCCAGCAGCCGCGGUAAUACGUAGGGUGCAAGCGUUAAUCGGAAUUACUGGGCGUAAAGCGUGCGCAGGCGGUCUUGCAAGACAGAUGUGAAAUCCCCGGGCUUAACCUGGGAACUGCAUUUGUGACUGCAAGGCUAGAGUACGGUAGAGGGGGAUGGAAUUCCGCGUGUAGCAGUGAAAUGCGUAGAUAUGCGGAGGAACACCGAUGGCGAAGGCAAUCCCCUGGACCUGUACUGACGCUCAUGCACGAAAGCGUGGGGAGCAAAACAGGAUUAGAUACCCUGGUAGUCCACGCCCUAAACGAUGUCAACUGGUUGUUGGGAAGGUUCCUUCUCAGUAACGUAGCUAACGCGUGAAGUUGACCGCCUGGGGAGUACGGCCGCAAGGUUGAAACUCAAAGGAAUUGACGGGGACCCGCACAAGCGGUGGAUGAUGUGGUUUAAUUCGACGCAACGCGAAAAACCUUACCUACCCUUGACAUGUCUGGAAUUUUGCAGAGAUGCGAAAGUGCUCGAAAGAGAACCAGAACACAGGUGCUGCAUGGCCGUCGUCAGCUCGUGUCGUGAGAUGUUGGGUUAAGUCCCGCAACGAGCGCAACCCUUGUCAUUAGUUGCUACGUAAGGGCACUCUAAUGAGACUGCCGGUGACAAACCGGAGGAAGGUGGGGAUGACGUCAGGUCAUCAUGGCCCUUAUGGGUAGGGCUACACACGUCAUACAAUGGCCGGUACAGAGGGCUGCCAACCCGCGAGGGGGAGCUAAUCCCAGAAAACCGGUCGUAGUCCGGAUCGCAGUCUGCAACUCGACUGCGUGAAGUCGGAAUCGCUAGUAAUCGCGGAUCAGCUUGCCGCGGUGAAUACGUUCCCGGGUCUUGUACACACCGCCCGUCACACCAUGGGAGCGGGUUCUGCCAGAAGUAGUUAGCCUAACCGCAAGGGGGGCGAUUACCACGGCAGGGUUCGUGACUGGGGUGAAGUCGUAACAAGGUA